Molecule: long non-coding RNA, 621 nt
Filed under: Rattus norvegicus (Norway rat)
Lineage: Eukaryota; Metazoa; Chordata; Mammalia; Rodentia; Muridae
Description: long non-coding RNA NONRATT010582
Source: RNAcentral
UUCUGCAGCAGCUGGGUAGAGGAUGAAACAUGACUGUUUACCAAAUGAUAGCAGAUGGUCAACUCUGAAAGAGACUGAGAUCCAAUAAUGAACAAUGAAGACAUUGGGAGAGGGACCCUGCAUCUUGCCUGGACCACACAGCAGAGGAGGCCCCGACGGUGGGGGCACAGAUUUUCUUUGAAGAACAACCCCACAGCUAAACAGAAAAAAACAAAACAAAACAAAAAGCAAAAACAAAACAAACAAAAAAACCAAUUCUCCAAAAGCCACUGCCAUAUGACAACCUAACCCUUCUCAGAUAGCAUCGCUUCACAAGAACAUGGCGGCGGCGUAACUGUGGAAAGAAGCAGUCUAGUCUCCUAAGAAGCAUCUUGAUCAGUUUAAGCCGAUGGCGCUGUAGAUGCAUGUGCAAAGCCACAUCAUUUCCACUGCUUUUCCAUCAUUACAAACUUCUUCUUCUAGAAGCUGCCUGUUUUCUUGUAUUGUCCACCAACUGCCAAUUCUUUGAUGCAGUGAUAUGCUAUGUUUUUAUUUAAUUUGGCCAAGUCUAAAUAAAAAAGCUACACUGAGUGAAUAAUAAAGGAUGGAUGGAUGGAUGGAUGGAUGGAUGGAUGGAUGGAU